GCCAUGCCGCGUGGGUGAAGAAGGCCCAUCGGGUUGUAAAGCCCUUUUGUUGGGAAAGAAAAGCAGUCGGUUAAUACCCGAUUGUUCUGACGGUACCCAAAGAAUAAGCACCGGCUAACUUCGUGCCAGCAGCCGCGGUAAUACGAAGGGUGCAAGCGUUACUCGGAAUUACUGGGCGUAAAGCGUGCGUAGGUGGUGGUUUAAGUCUGUUGUGAAAGCCCUGGGCUCAACCUGGGAAUUGCAGUGGAUACUGGGUCACUAGAGUGUGGUAGAGGGUAGCGGAAUUCCCGGUGUAGCAGUGAAAUGCGUAGAGAUCGGGAGGAACAUCCGUGGCGAAGGCGGCUACCUGGACCAACACUGACACUGAGGCACGAAAGCGUGGGGAGCAAACAGGAUUAGAUACCCUGGUAGUCCACGCCCUAAACGAUGCGAACUGGAUGUUGGGUGCAAUUUGGCACGCAGUAUCGAAGCUAACGCGUUAAGUUCGCCGCCUGGGGAGUACGGUCGCAAGACUGAAACUCAAAGGAAUUGACGGGGGCCCGCACAAGCGGUGGAGUAUGUGGUUUAAUUCGAUGCAACGCGAAGAACCUUACCUGGUCUUGACAUCCACGGAACUUUCCAGA
This 623-nucleotide ribosomal RNA is filed under the name Xanthomonas sp. Ri3Ps_5206. Its description in RNAcentral is "bacterial SSU rRNA". It matches the Rfam family "Bacterial small subunit ribosomal RNA", at positions 391 to 1004 of the family's 1533-position model. The record is from RNAcentral. Lineage: Bacteria; Pseudomonadati; Pseudomonadota; Gammaproteobacteria; Lysobacterales; Lysobacteraceae.